This 68-nucleotide transfer RNA is filed under the name Marmota monax (woodchuck). RNAcentral's name for it is "tRNA.Ala". Lineage: Eukaryota; Metazoa; Chordata; Mammalia; Rodentia; Sciuridae. The record is from RNAcentral.
GGUUAUAGCUCAGUUGGUAGAGCACUUGCCUAGCACAUGUGAGGCACUGAGUUCAAUCCUCAGCACCA